RNAcentral lists this ribosomal RNA (208 nucleotides) under uncultured bacterium. Its description in RNAcentral is "partial 16S ribosomal RNA". It matches the Rfam family "Bacterial small subunit ribosomal RNA", at positions 298 to 524 of the family's 1533-position model. The record is from RNAcentral.
GGAUGAGCAGCCACACUGGGACUGAGACACGGCCCAGACUCCUACGGGAGGCAGCAGUGGGGAAUUUUCCGCAAUGGGCGCAAGCCUGACGGAGCAAUAUAGCGUGAGGGAGAAAGGCCUUUGGGUUGUAAACCUCUUUUGUCAGGGAAGAAAAUUUGACGGUACCUGAAGAAAAAGCAUCUAACGCCGUGCCAGCAGCCGCGGUAAU